GAUGAACGCUGGCGGCGUGCCUAAUACAUGCAAGUCGAGCGAACAGACGAGGAGCUUGCUCCUCUGACGUUAGCGGCGGACGGGGGAGUAACACGUGGAUAACCUACCUAUAAGACUGGGAUAACUUCGGGAAACCGGAGCUAAUACCGGAUAAUAUAUUGAACCGCAUGGUUCAAUAGUGAAAGACGGUUUUGCUGUCACUUAUAGAUGGAUCCGCGCCGCAUUAGCUGGUUGGUAAGGUAACGGCUUACCAAGGCGACGAUGCGUAGCCGACCUGAGGGGGAUCGGCCACACUGGAACUGAGGCGAGGUCCAGACUCCUACGGGAGGCAGCAGUAGGGAAUCUUCCGCAAUGGGCGAAAGCCUGACGGAGCAACGCCGCGUGAGUGAUGAAGGUCUUCGGAUCGUAAAACUCUGUUAUUGGGGAAGAACAAAUGUGUAAGUAACUAUGCACGUCUUGACGGUACCUAAUCAGAAAGCCACGGCUAACUACGUG
RNAcentral lists this ribosomal RNA (495 nucleotides) under uncultured bacterium. Its description in RNAcentral is "partial 16S ribosomal RNA". It matches the Rfam family "Bacterial small subunit ribosomal RNA", at positions 28 to 507 of the family's 1533-position model. The record is from RNAcentral.